RNAcentral lists this ribosomal RNA (640 nucleotides) under Geobacillus kaustophilus. Its description in RNAcentral is "bacterial SSU rRNA". It matches the Rfam family "Bacterial small subunit ribosomal RNA", at positions 37 to 653 of the family's 1533-position model. The record is from RNAcentral. Lineage: Bacteria; Bacillati; Bacillota; Bacilli; Caryophanales; Anoxybacillaceae.
GUGCUGCGCGUGCUAUACAUGCAGUCGAGCGGACCAGAAAUCUGGAGGCUUGCUCUGGUUUGGUCAGCGGCGGACGGGUGAGUAACACGUGGGCAACCUGCCCGCAAGACCGGGAUAACUCCGGGAAACCGGAGCUAAUACCGGAUAACACCGAAGACCGCAUGGUCUUUGGUUGAAAGGCGGCCUUUGGCUGUCACUUGCGGAUGGGCCCGCGGCGCAUUAGCUAGUUGGUGAGGUAACGGCUCACCAAGGCGACGAUGCGUAGCCGGCCUGAGAGGGUGACCGGCCACACUGGGACUGAGACACGGCCCAGACUCCUACGGGAGGCAGCAGUAGGGAAUCUUCCGCAAUGGGCGAAAGCCUGACGGAGCGACGCCGCGUGAGCGAAGAAGGCCUUCGGGUCGUAAAGCUCUGUUGUGAGGGACGAAGGAGCGCCGUUCGAAGAGGGCGGCGCGGUGACGGUACCUCACGAGGAAGCCCCGGCUAACUACGUGCCAGCAGCCGCGGUAAUACGUAGGGGGCGAGCGUUGUCCGGAAUUAUUGGGCGUAAAGCGCGCGCAGGCGGUUCCUUAAGUCUGAUGUGAAAGCCCACGGCUCAACCGUGGAGGGUCAUUGGAAACUGGGGGACUUGAGUGCAGGA